Molecule: non-coding RNA, 804 nt
Filed under: Pongo abelii (Sumatran orangutan)
Lineage: Eukaryota; Metazoa; Chordata; Mammalia; Primates; Hominidae
Source: RNAcentral
CCUUCAAAUUCAAAUUUAUCCAAUCAUUUCUUCUGCUUACUACCAUCCUAAAUCAUUUUUCUUUAGUAAGAUCUAUUAGUGUGAAGCUAUUAAGCUAUUAAUGUAAGUAUCAUAUUAAUGUAUUAAGAUAUUAAGUGAGGAAGUAAAGUUGCAUUCAUAGGCCUUGAACUUUUCCACAUCUCGAUUUUUACCCAUCAUCUCUGCAUAUUUUCCUAAGGCAGCCUUCAAAUGGUGAUGUUUCCUGUCAUCCAGAGUUCAGAAGUGCCUUCUCUUCAACCUUUCUGUGGAAUUCUAAACCACGUGAUAAAGGAGCUGGUGAAAUCAUCACUGGGCUGAAAGAAUGUAGUACUGGUGACAUGAGCCUGCAUUUCCGUUUUUAAUUAAAAUUCUAACUGACCCAGAGCCAGAUUUCCUUCUGCACCAGAGCCUGUGGAAGCGCCACAGCGGAAGCACAGAGACUGGAAGAGCAGGCAAGAAGCUGGGAGCUUUGCACUGAACCAGGAAGACAUCACAGCUCUUAGGCGAAGACCCGGAAAGGUGUCAACAUGGCCACACUACUGCUCCCACCUUGUCCUUAUUUUCCUCAUCUCUCCCCACAGGCCACAGAUCAGCCCUGGGGUUCAGAGGGAUCCUGACGGCUACUCCUCAAGAUCCUCUCUGUUGUGAUUCAUCCCCCCCAGGCCCUACAGUUUCUCCUUCCUGACUCUUACAUUUCUUUGGAUGGCAUCACUAUUUACCUGUCUCCUCCCAUAGUUAGUUGCCAAGCACUGUGGAUUCUACCCCUCAGGGUCCAGACACCCAUUU